CAUGCAAGUAUCCGCUAACCAGUGAAAAUGCCCUUUUACUCGCUCACCCAGAACGAUCCACAAGGAGCUGGCAUCAAGCACACAACUGUAGCUCAAAACGCCUUGCUUAGCCACACCCCCACGGGAUACAGCAGUAAUAAAAAUUUAGCUAUGAACGAAAGUUUGACUAAGCUAUACUGAUGAGGGUUGGUCAAUCUCGUGCCAGCCACCGCGGUCAUACGAUUAACCCAAGUUAAUAAGAAUCGGCGUAAAGUGUGGUUAAAAUGUUAAUAAAAUAAAGUUAAAUUAGCUCUCCGCUGUAAAAAGCUAAAGAUCUAAAGUAAAUAAACUACCAAAGUGACUUUACUAAUUAAUGAAUCCACGAUAGCUGAGACACAAACUGGGAUUAGAUACCCCACUAUGCUCAGCCCUAAACUAUGGUAUUUAGUAACAAAAAUGCCCGCCAGAGAACUACAAGCCAGCGCUUAAAACUCAAAGGACUUGGCGGUGCUUCACAUCCAACUAGAGGAGCCUGUUACAUAAUCGAUAAACCCCGAUACACCCUACCAUCACUUGCUAAACCAGUCUAUAUACCGCCAUCUUCAGCAAACCCUUAAAAGGAAAAAUAGUAAGCUUAAAUGUACUCACAAAAACGUUAGGUCAAGGUGUAACCUAUGUGAUGGAGAAUAAUGGGCUACAUUUUCUUAAUAAGAACAACAACGAACUCCCAUAUGAAACCUAUAGGAUAAAGGAGGAUUUAGCAGUAAGUCAGGAAUAGAGUGCUUGGCUGAACCUGGCAAUGAAGCACGUACACACCGCCCGUCACCCUCCUCAAAUGACUAGGACCCAAAACCAUAUUUUAAUCCACAUGUCAUGAGAGGAGACAAGUCGUAACAAGGUAAGCAUACUGGAAAGUGUGCUUGGAUUAUUCAAAGUGUAGCUUAAACUAAAGCACCUGGCCUACACCCAGAAGAUUUCAUAAUUAUGACCACUUUGAACCAGACCUAGCUCUUAAYUAACUCAUUUCAACCACCUACACUUAAAAAAUAAAACAUUUACUUAUACUUAGUAUAGGAGAUAGAAAAUUUACUCAAGACGCAAUAGAAAUAGUACCGUAAGGGAAAGAUGAAAGAUAACUUAAAGUACAAAACAGCAGAGAUAUCCCCUCUUACCUUUUGCAUAAUGAACUAACUAGAACCCAYUUGACAAAGAGACCUGAAGCCAARACCCCCGAAACCAGACGAGCUACUUAUGGACAAUUACCAGAAUGAACUCGUCUAUGUAGCAAAAUAGUGAGAUGAUCUAUAAGUAGAGGUGAAAAGCCAACCGAGCCUGGUGAUAGCUGGUUACCCAAGAAAAGAAUCUUAGUUCAACCCAAAGCAUACCCUAAAAACACCUAAUUUUACUGUAAACUUUGGAGUAAUUCAAUAGAGGUACAGCUCUAUUGAAUAUGGAUACAACCUAAAAAGGAGAGUAACAAUAUUAUAUUAACAUAGUUGGCCUAAAAGCAGCCAUCAAUUAAGAAAGCGUUAAAGCUCAAACUUUAAAACUAUAAUAAUCCCAACAACAUUAACCUAACUCCCUAAUCUAGUAUUGGGUCAUUCUAUUAAUUAAUAGAAGUGAUAAUGUUAGUAUGAGUAACAAGAAAUAAUUCUCCGUGCACAAGCUUAUAUCAGAACGGAUGCCCACUGAUAGUUAACGAUACUAUAAAACUAAUCCCCCUAUAAAUCCAUUAUUAAUAAUAUCGUUGACCCAACACAGGAGUGCAACUCGGAAAGAUUAAAAGARAAAGAAGGAACUCGGCAAACACGAACUCCGCCUGUUUACCAAAAACAUCACCUCUAGCAUUACUAGUAUUAGAGGCACUGCCUGCCCAGUGACAUUAGUUAAACGGCCGCGGUACUCUGACCGUGCAAAGGUAGCAUAAUCAUUUGUUCUUUAAUUGAGGACUAGUAUGAAUGGCAAGACGAGAGUUCAACUGUCUCCUUUCUCCAAUCAGUGAAAUUGACCUUCCUGUGAAGAGGCAGGAAUAAUAUUAUAAGACGAGAAGACCCUAUGGAGCUUUAAU
RNAcentral lists this non-coding RNA (2047 nucleotides) under Elephantulus sp. HS451. Its description in RNAcentral is "partial contains 12S ribosomal RNA, tRNA-Val (trnV), and 16S ribosomal RNA". The stretch from base 1050 to 2047 matches the Rfam family "Bacterial large subunit ribosomal RNA", at positions 1 to 2105 of the family's 2925-position model. The record is from RNAcentral. Lineage: Eukaryota; Metazoa; Chordata; Mammalia; Macroscelidea; Macroscelididae.